RNAcentral lists this ribosomal RNA (549 nucleotides) under uncultured bacterium. Its description in RNAcentral is "bacterial SSU rRNA". It matches the Rfam family "Bacterial small subunit ribosomal RNA", at positions 380 to 920 of the family's 1533-position model. The record is from RNAcentral.
CCCUAGAUCCAGCCAGUGCCGCGUGCGGGAAGAAGGCCUUCGGGUUGUAAACCGCUUUUGUCAGGGAAGAAAUCUUCUGAGCUAAUACCGUCGGGGGGAUGACGGUACCUGGAGAAUAAGCACCGGCUAACUACGUGCCAGCAGCCGCGGUAAUACGUAGGGUGCAAGCGUUAAUCGGAAUUACUGGGCGUAAAGCGUGCGCAGGCGGUUGUGCAAGACAGAUGUGAAAUCCCCGGGCUUAACCUGGGAACUGCAUUUGUGACUGCACGGCUAGAGUGCGGCAGAGGGGAUGGAAUUCCGCGUGUAGCAGUGAAAUUCGUAGAUAUCGGGAGGAACACCAGUGGCGAAGGCGGAAACCUGGGGCCGAUACUGACGCUGAGGUGCGAAAGCGUGGGGAGCAAACAGGAUUAGAUACCUGGUAGUCCACGCCGUAAACGAUGAGCGCUAGGUGUUGGGGGUAUUGACCCCCCAGUACCGCAGCUAACGCGUUAAGCGCUCCGCCUGGGGAGUACGGCCGCAAGGCUAAAACUCAAAGGAAUUGACGGGGGC